This 435-nucleotide ribosomal RNA is filed under the name uncultured bacterium. Its description in RNAcentral is "partial 16S ribosomal RNA". It matches the Rfam family "Bacterial small subunit ribosomal RNA", at positions 28 to 507 of the family's 1533-position model. The record is from RNAcentral.
GAUGAACGCUGGCGGUAUGCUUAACACAUGCAAGUCGAACGGACUCUUCGGAGUUAGUGGCGGACGGGUGAGUAACGCGUGAGAAUCUGGCUUUGGGUUCGGGACAACCACUGGAAACGGUGGCUAAUACCGGAUGUGCCGAGAGGUAAAAGAGAAAUUGCCUGAAGAUGAGCUCGCGUCUGAUUAGCUAGUUGGUGAGGUAAAGGCUCACCAAGGCAGCGAUCAGUAGCUGGUCUGAGAGGAUGACCAGCCACACUGGGACUGAGACACGGCCCAGACUCCUACGGGAGGCAGCAGUGGGGAAUUUUCCGCAAUGGGCGAACGCCUGACGGAGCAAUACCGCGUGAGGGAAGAAGGCUCUUGGGUUGUAAACCUCUUUUCUUAGGGAAGAACAAAAUGACGGUACCUAAGGAAUCAGCAUCGGCUAACUCCGUG